Molecule: RNA transcript, 4430 nt
Organism: Ictalurus furcatus (blue catfish)
Lineage: Eukaryota; Metazoa; Chordata; Actinopteri; Siluriformes; Ictaluridae
Gene: isg20l2
Gene name: interferon stimulated exonuclease gene 20-like 2
Exons: 5
Source: RefSeq, a predicted model, not a curated record
AAGUGCAUCCAACCCGACUCGUGCAUAUGGAAGAUGCACAGAACAUCCACAUGCAGGGGCUAAAUAAACAGUUCGGCUGAGUAUCACUACUGGACUGAACAGCUCUACCCUGUAAUGAAGAGAACUUCUUGUAACAUUGCAGUUAUUCCUUGGAAAUAUUUGUUGUCUUGAAGUAUGUCAGGAAUUAAUCUUAACUUGGACUUCAGUGGCCCUGGCCGUAAUGAGUGCCAAGAGAAAGCCAGUGGAAAUGCCAAACACGAACAGUUCAAUAGAAAGAGGCGCUACCUGGAGCGUAAGGGUUUGCUGAAUAAAAAGCAAAACACAAAUAACAGUCAAAAAGGAAAAUGCACAAAGAAUCAUUUGCAUUGGAAAAGAAGGGACCAUUCACAAGCCAGUGCUGUUUUCCCAAAAUUUACUACUCUACAGCCCGAAUUGUCUGCAAAUUCCCCCAAUUUCAUGCAAGCCCACCAUGGGAACUCUGCGACCAUCAAGGAAUUCACAGUGCCUUCAAAGUCAACAUCUAGAGUAGGAUUCAGUUCAGUACUGCACAACCCGAUGAAAUAUGUAGCCCUUGACUGUGAGAUGGUAGGGACAGGGCUCAAAGGUCAUUGCAGUGAGCUGGCCCGCUGCAGCAUAGUCUCCUAUGAUGGGGAUGUAAUUUAUGACAAGUUCAUCAAGCCUGUUAAUCCAGUUACAGAUCUUCGCACUCCCUGGAGUGGAGUGAGAUGGCGAGAUCUCCAUAAUGCAACACCCUUCAAACAGGCCCAGAGAGAGAUUGUAAAUAUCCUCACAGGGAAAGUGGUUGUGGGCCAUGCUGUCCAUAAUGAUUUUAAGGUUUUGCACUAUUUCCAUCCUGUCCACCUCGUGCGAGACACCUCACGCAGUCCCAUCCUGAAUCGGAAAGCUGAUCUUCCAGAGAACAAGUCUGCCUCUCUGAAGACCCUCACAAAGAUUCUCUUGAACAUGGAUAUACAGAUGGGAAAGAGAGGCCACUCUUCAGUAGAAGACGCAAAAGCCACCAUGGAGCUAUAUAAAAAAGUAGCAGUGGAAUGGGAGACGACUUUAGCUUUAAAUACUGCUUCCUAGAGAAAAAAACCUGCUGGGUGAUGCCAAGUUUUCUACUUAAUUAAUGCUCAGUGUUUUAAGAAUGAGAUUUCAGCCUUUAAACCUAAACUUAAUCCUAGUUUUAAAUACAAAAAAGCUCUCCAACCAAUUUUAAAACUGUUAAUGCUACUUCCACAGUUUGAAAUGAUUGUUGUUCAGGUGCUAGUUGACAACUUAUUAUAACAACUUAUUUAAAAUAAAACAGUAAACUGCAAUCAGUGGUUAGUAAAGAUUAACCACUGAAGUAAACUUCAGUUGUCAUUGUAGAGUUUAAUCUAGAGUAAUCAAUUUCUGUGUGAGUGCAGUUGGUGUCUUUUUGGUGUGCAAGCAGGUUGGUGGUACAUCUGGAACUGGGGGCGGGGGGGUGCCGGAUGGCGCCGGAUGGCAGCAUGUCUGAUGGCACGCCUGGGAACGUUGGAAUGGUAGGAACAUUGGGUGCGAGGAAGAAAUUCAUUCUGGAUAGGAUGCAGUCCAUUACAGUGGUCCAUUACAGCACACCAUGCACACACACAUUAAUACAUACCUAGGGCAAUCUAAUCUAGCCAAGCCACCUACAUGCAUGUUUUUUGGGAGGUGGAAAAAACCUAGGGAUAAAAUGAACAUAGGAAAGUAGAAAGUAGCCCAAGCUCGGGAUUUUAACCAGGGACCCUGGAACCAUGCCACUUUUAAUUGUUAAUUUAUCUAGUUGUAAAUAUAGCAAUAACCUUGGGAUAUUUAAAGGAAAUAAUGAAUGCCAUUCCUUAAACAGGAUACAGGAUACAUGUUAAACUUGAACAGCAAUUAGUUUCACCUCUUGUAUAUUAAGAAGCACUUUGCUUGCACAGCUGGAAGACUUCUGUCUGGAACAUUCCGUUUCUCAAGAUACCUCGUAUAAUACUCCAGUUUUUCCGGCCUCAAAGUGUAAAGGUUGUCUUCUGAUUAGAGUAAGGACCUGGCUGUUUUAGCCUGGUUAAGGACACUACUGGCAAGGAAGCCUCCCUGUGCUAUUAGCCUUCCUGUCUGACUCUGCUUAACCUAUAUGUUAAAUUCCUCUAGUGUCUGAUAUUCAGGCUGCAAGAUUUAAGGAUACAAAGCUGUAUUCACCCUCCUCCUCCUCUGUGGGACAACCCAGCUGCAGCCAGGCAGAUUAACCCUGCUGUCUCAUUCAUUCUAUUUGCCACUAGAUAUCUCAGUUCUUCUGUUGCCACAAACAUGAAUCACGAAUGGAUUUCUUUUUUCCAUGUUUGCAGACUUGAAUCACUAAUGAGUCAGCUGCUGGGCAUCACCAUGGAUGUGAAUUACAUACAGAUCAAUGAAUUACAGACUUUAGUUUCAUCAUACCUAAGAUCUUGUAGUGUACAUGCUCCUCUCAUGUAGAAGUAAUGGUCAGGGUUUGUGUGCUUUUCUGAUUUUCUCUUGUAUUUACCUGAUGUGUCAUGGGUUACGAAUUUGUGGAUAAACAGGGACCUUAAGUGUCACACUUGCAGCUGCUCAAAAGGACUGCAAUUAGGGCAGCAUGGUGGCACAUCGGAUGGCAUUGCCACCUCACAGCUCUGGGGUCCCCAGUUUGUGUUACUGAAUUUAUGAUAUGCAUGUGUUGCAUUUCCUGUGUUCCCCUGGGGUCUGCAUAGGUUUCCUCUUGGUUCUCUGUCAACUCUCACCUCCUAAAAACAUGCAUUCAUGGAUGUGUAGAUUAUGUGUGAAUGUGUAUGUACAGGGUGCAAUGGACUGGCAUCCCAUCCUGGGUGUAUUCCUCCCUCACUCAGGAUAGUCUGGGAUACUCUUGAUGCACCAUGACACCAAACAAGAUAAAAAGUGGUUACUGAAGAUGAAUGAAUGGAUUUAUGCUCUUUAUUAGGAACACCUGUACAUCUGAUAAUUUAUGCAAUUAUCCAAUCAGCUAUUCAUGUGACAACAGCAUAACACAUAAAAACCUUCAGAUAUAGGUAGUUUCAGUUAAUGUUCACAUCAAAUGAGAAUGUGAUCUUGACUGUGGCAUGGAUAUUGGUACUAGAUGGGCUGGUUGAGUAUUUCAGAAACUGCUGAUCUCCAGGGUUUUGCACAACAAUCUCUAGAGUUUACACAGAAUCGUAUGAAAAACAAAAAUAUCCAGUUGCAGGCCGUUCUGCAGGCAGAAAAGCACCCCAGAAUGCACAAUAUGCCAACCAGCAGGAGACCACAUCAUUUCCACCUCUGUCAGCCAGGAACAGGAAUCUGAGGUUAAACUGGGCACAGGCUCACCAAAACUGGGCAGUUAAAUAUUGGAAAAAUGUCACCUGGUCUUUUUCCAGUCUUCAACUGCCCAGUUUUCAUAAGUCUUUCUUGCUGUUUUGUUUUGUUUUUGUUGUUUAUUUUAUAAUGUGUGGCAAUUUACCUGAGCCACAAGAAUUUCAAUGUGCAAACAUCCUUGACAUUCUGUACAUAUGACAAAUAAAAGACUUUGCAAUGGCAGAGCUCUAAGCAAAUGGUCUGCAUUUAUAUAGCACUUUUAUCCAAAGUGCUUUACACUGUGUCUCAUUCACCCAUACACCAACGGUAGCAGAGCUGCCAUGCAAGGCGCUAACUUGCCAUCAGGAGCUACGUGGGGUUCAUUGUCUUGCCCAAGGACACUUCGGUAUGUGGAGUUAUGUGGGCUGGGAAUCGAACCACCAACCCUAUGAUUAGUGGACAACUUGCUCUACCACCUGAGCCACAGCCGCCCUAUAAGCAUAUUUUGUUUUUUGGGGGUUGUUUUUGGUCAGGGUUUACUUUGUGGGUGAUCUACAGGGAUCAUUAAUGUAAUUGCUUGCCACUCCUCAGAAGAACUUGCAAUUAAAUAAAUUAAACUAAACAAUCUCUUUGAUUUUGCUGGAGUGUCCCCCAGAUAUUCGUCCCAUAACAAAACUGAUAUAGCCUUCAUAACCCAAGUAAAAUCUUUUACCGAUAGACUUUUUAAUUAUGACCAUGCCAAGAAUGCAUAUCUGUUUUAUCUUUGCUUUUUAAUUAUGUGGAGUCCUUUGAAGGUACAAAAGCUAUAUGUCUGAUAAAAGUGUCUGAGUGCCAGUAGUCUAGGACCAUGUGCACCAGGCCAGGUGGCUGUGAUGUAGGGUCAAAAGCUUUUAACUCAUUCAGAGAUUAACAAUUAUUUAAUUGAAUACGUUAAAAAGUGUUUUAACUAAUUUAGAGAUAUAAAAGAGCCAUGCUGUAAAAUCUAGUCUUUUAUCCAUCCAUUUUCUGUACUGCUUAUCCUACACAGGAUCAUGGGGAGCCUGGAGUCCCAGGGGACUCGGGCACAAGGCGGGGGACACCCUGGACUAGGUGCCCACCCAUCGCAGGCUGCGAGCACACACACAUUCACGCACUACGGA